RNAcentral lists this ribosomal RNA (467 nucleotides) under uncultured bacterium. RNAcentral's name for it is "partial 16S ribosomal RNA". It matches the Rfam family "Bacterial small subunit ribosomal RNA", at positions 28 to 507 of the family's 1533-position model. The record is from RNAcentral.
GACGAACGCUGGCGGCGUGCUUAACACAUGCAAGUCGAACGGAAAGGCUCCAGCUUGCUGGAGUACUCGAGUGGCGAACGGGUGAGUAACACGUGGGUAAUCUGCCCUGCACUCUGGGAUAAGCCUGGGAAACUGGGUCUAAUACUGGAUAUGACCUUUCUCCUUAUGGGGUUUGGUGGAAAGUUUUUCGGUGUAGGAUGAGCCCGCGGCCUAUCAGCUUGUUGGUGGGGUGAUGGCUUACCAAGGCGACGACGGAUAGCCGGCCUGAGAGGGUGAUCGGCCACAUUGGGACUGAGAUACGGCCCAGACUCCUACGGGAGGCAGCAGUGGGGAAUAUUGCACAAUGGGCGGAAGCCUGAUGCAGCGACGCCGCGUGAGGGAUGACGGCCUUCGGGUUGUAAACCUCUUUCAGCAGGGACGAAGCGUAAGUGACGGUACCUGCAGAAGAAGCACCGGCUAACUAUGUG